This 393-nucleotide ribosomal RNA is filed under the name uncultured bacterium. RNAcentral describes it as "bacterial SSU rRNA". It matches the Rfam family "Bacterial small subunit ribosomal RNA", at positions 1 to 400 of the family's 1533-position model. The record is from RNAcentral.
AUUAGAGUUUGAUCCUGGCUCAGAUUGAACGCUGGCGGCAGGCCUAACACAUGCAAGUCGAGCGGUAGAGAGGAGCUUGCUUCUCUUGAGAGCGGCGGACGGGUGAGUAAUGCCUAGGAAUCUGCCUAGUGGUGGGGGAUAACGUUCGGAAACGGACGCUAAUACCGCAUACGUCCUACGGGAGAAAGCGGGGGACCUUCGGGCCUCGCGCCAUUAGAUGAGCCUAGGUCGGAUUAGCUAGUUGGUGAGGUAAUGGCUCACCAAGGCGACGAUCCGUAACUGGUCUGAGAGGAUGAUCAGUCACACUGGAACUGAGACACGGUCCAGACUCCUACGGGAGGCAGCAGUGGGGAAUAUUGGACAAUGGGCGAAAGCCUGAUCCAGCCAUGCCGC